Molecule: long non-coding RNA, 207 nt
Filed under: Mytilus galloprovincialis (Mediterranean mussel)
Lineage: Eukaryota; Metazoa; Mollusca; Bivalvia; Mytilida; Mytilidae
Source: RNAcentral
UUUUGUUGUUUUUUUGAUUUUAAACAUAUUUUAUUCAUUAAGAUAUGAAAAGGAUUGAGCAACAGGCACAGCCUAUAAAAGCUCUCUCCAUAUUACAUGUACAAGGUAUAAUUCAAUCACAACAACUGUAUUUAAAAUAAUGCAAUAUAGUGGAACAUGCAUGCUACUUGUGAGCACACACGAGCAAAUAUAUGUUAACAGUGUUAC